Molecule: ribozyme, 79 nt
Filed under: Crocodylus porosus (Australian saltwater crocodile)
Lineage: Eukaryota; Metazoa; Chordata; Crocodylia; Crocodylidae
Description: Mammalian CPEB3 ribozyme (ENSCPRG00005003384.1)
Rfam family: Mammalian CPEB3 ribozyme
About the family: The mammalian CPEB3 ribozyme is a self cleaving RNA located in the second intron of the CPEB3 gene which belongs to a family of genes regulating messenger RNA polyadenylation.
Source: Rfam by way of RNAcentral
UGUCUAUCACCAAUGGCCAUAGCAGAGGCGUUCAUGUCACGGCCCCUGUCAGAUUUCAACAAAUCUGCUAAAUUCUGCU